GCAAGACAGAUGGGACUUUCAAAAUGAAAUGUACCUAUGACUGUUUGCUACUAUAUAUAUAAAAUGUCUCAUUUAGUCUCAUCUGUGAUUUUCCAAGAGGAAAAUGUUUCCAGGAGCCAUUUAUCUCAGUCCUGCAGGGUGAGUUCUACAGGCAUCAGAGGAAACCGCUGUACCAUUAAACUCAGUGCUGACGAAAACAGCCACCCCUCCAGCAGAAUGGGGACCCCCUCUCCAUUUCAUAAAUCUUCCCCAAAUACGCCAAAACCAGGAACUGACUGUCUGUCACAUCAAUGGCUCAAAGUCUGGGUGCGUCAGCGCAGUGUGUUCAAAGGGGAUCAAGAGUAUCUAUCUGGCAACAACUUUGGGAGCAGGGAGGCAAUUAUAACUGACAUCCAGAUGUCUGGCUGGGUGGAUGCUACUACCCUGUAAGAAUGCUCAUGGCCUGGAGACAUUUACAACUGAGCAGUGAGUCCAAGACGUGACAGACAGAUCAAUGAUGGUAUCAUAAACCAUCAGCGUGAACCAAAAAAAGUUGCCUGGACUGAUAAAGACUUCAGAUGUCAGGAGUUGCAACAAAGUUCCUUCUCUCCACAUCCUCCAUCAGCCACCCCGCCCCGCCUCCUCACAAACAAGCUUGUUAGUAGUUGAGGGCCCAGCAGGAAAUGUUUUGACACCCAGUGCCAAACCUCAAUCCAUCACUGGAACCUUUAAUACGCUUAAGUGUUUAGAUUAUGGAGGCAAGCGGGAUUCCAACAGAAACCCCCUUGCUUGUGGAAUAUGGAGAUGUUGUCAUUUGACUCUCUACUACCUGCACUGUUCUUCUUUCUUAAUCAAAGAGUAUCCUAAAAGAAGAUAUUAAGAUUCAAAUGUAAAGGAAAUUUAAUUAUGAUGAAAGCAGCACUCAACAUGAAGCUGUUUUUCUUUAUUUGGGAACGUUAGAAAAUAGAAAGUGUCCUUGCUAAAACAUAUGUGUAUAUGUGUGACUUAUGAAAAUAUAUGUAAGUAAAUGUAUGCGAAU
This 1018-nucleotide long non-coding RNA is filed under the name Mus caroli (Ryukyu mouse). Its description in RNAcentral is "lncRNA (MGP_CAROLIEiJ_G0005411.1)". Lineage: Eukaryota; Metazoa; Chordata; Mammalia; Rodentia; Muridae. The record is from RNAcentral.